Molecule: ribosomal RNA, 628 nt
Filed under: uncultured Alphaproteobacteria bacterium
Lineage: Bacteria; Pseudomonadati; Pseudomonadota; Alphaproteobacteria
Description: bacterial SSU rRNA
Rfam family: Bacterial small subunit ribosomal RNA
Source: RNAcentral
AGAGUUUGAUCCUGGCUCAGAACGAACGCUGGCGGAUGACAAACACAUGCAAGUCGAACGAGACCUUCGGGUCUAGUGGCGCACGGGUGCGUAACGCGUGGGAAUCUGCCCUUAGGUACGGAAUAACUCAGGGAAACUUGAGCUAAUACCGUAUAAUGACUCCGGUCCAAAGAUUUAUCGCCUAAGGAUGAGCCCGCGUAGGAUUAGCUAGUUGGUGAGGUAAAAGCUCACCAAGGCGACGAUCCUUAGCUGGUCUGAGAGGAUGAUCAGCCACACUGGGACUGAGACACGGCCCAGACUCCUACGGGAGGCAGCAGUGGGGAAUAUUGGACAAUGGGCGAAAGCCUGAUCCAGCAAUGCCGCGUGAGUGAUGAAGGCCUUAUGGUUGUAAAGCUCUUUUACCCGGGAUGAUAAUGACAGUACCGGGAGAAUAAGCCCCGGCUAACUCCGUGCCAGCAGCCGCGGUAAUACGGAGGGGGCUAGCGUUGUUCGGAAUUACUGGGCGUAAAGCGCACGUAGGCGGCUUUGUAAGUUAGAGGUGAAAGCCCGGGGCUCAACUCCGGAAUUGCCUUUAAGACUGCAUCGCUAGAAUUGUGGAGAGGUAAGUGGAAUUCCGAGUGUAGAGGUG